UACGGGGGGGGCGAGCGUUAUUCGGAAUUAUUGGGCGUAAAGGGCGCGUAGGCGGCCCGAUAAGUCAAAGGUGAAAUCCCUCGGCUCAACUGAGGAACUGCCUUUGAAACUGUCGGGCUUGAGGCCGGGAGGGGGUAGCGGAAUUCCCAGUGUAGCGGUGAAAUGCGUAGAUAUUGGGAGGAACACCGGUGGCGAAGGCGGCUACCUGGACCGGUUCUGACGCUGAUGCGCGAAAGCGUGGGUAGCAAACAGG
This 253-nucleotide ribosomal RNA is filed under the name uncultured bacterium. Its description in RNAcentral is "partial 16S ribosomal RNA". It matches the Rfam family "Bacterial small subunit ribosomal RNA", at positions 524 to 776 of the family's 1533-position model. The record is from RNAcentral.